RNAcentral lists this ribosomal RNA (463 nucleotides) under uncultured bacterium. RNAcentral's name for it is "bacterial SSU rRNA". It matches the Rfam family "Bacterial small subunit ribosomal RNA", at positions 337 to 793 of the family's 1533-position model. The record is from RNAcentral.
UCCUACGGGGGGCAGCAGUGGGGAAUCUUCCACAAUGGGCGAAAGCCUGAUGGAGCAACGCCGCGUGGGUGAAGAAGGUCUUCGGAUCGUAAACCCUGUUGUUAGAGAAGAAAGUGCGUGAGAGUAACUGUUCACGUUUCGACGGUAUCUAACCAGAAAGCCACGGCUAACUACGUGCCAGCAGCCGCGGUAAUACGUAGGUGGCAAGCGUUAUCCGGAUUUAUUGGGCGUAAAGGGAACGCAGGCGGUCUUUUAAGUCUAAUGUGAAAGCCUUCGGCUUAACCGGAGUAGUGCAUUGGAAACUGGGAGACUUGAGUGCAGAAGAGGAGAGUGGAACUCCAUGUGUAGCGGUGAAAUGCGUAGAUAUAUGGAAGAACACCAGUGGCGAAAGCGGCUCUCUGGUCUGUAACUGACGCUGAGGUUCGAAAGCGUGGGUAGCAAACAGGAUUAGAUACCCGCGUAG